UGUUUGGAUGCUUGCAAGAAGCUCCAUGAGAUAGGAACAUUUACUGAUAUGCUCUUGCCAGAUAAGGGAAGUGGCACAGAAUCUGAAAAGGUUGAGGAAAAUGAUGAAGGUGAUCCCCUUCCUGGAACUGCCAGGCAUAGGGAGUUUUAUCCUGAAGGUGUAGCUGACAUUCUCCGGGUAUUGGCCAAAAUAAUUAGGUGGUAGAAAUUGAAGGGGAAGAAGAAAACCCCACAGGAUCAUUUUCUGAUGCUCAUGAUGUGUGAUGACUUAAUAAGAUCUAUUGUAAUUACUUGCAAAGCAGACACAAUUGUCUAUAUAGUAUUUUUCUUGUAGGUGAA
Molecule: long non-coding RNA, 338 nt
Organism: Ipomoea nil (Japanese morning glory)
Lineage: Eukaryota; Viridiplantae; Streptophyta; Magnoliopsida; Solanales; Convolvulaceae
Exons: 2
Source: RefSeq, a predicted model, not a curated record